Molecule: RNA transcript, 4364 nt
Organism: Cercocebus atys (sooty mangabey)
Lineage: Eukaryota; Metazoa; Chordata; Mammalia; Primates; Cercopithecidae
Exons: 1
Source: RefSeq, a predicted model, not a curated record
UCGGCCUCCCAAAGUGCUGGGAUUACAAGCAUGAGCCACCGCGCCCGGCCGCCUCUACCUUCUCUAAGCGAGUCUCAGCCAGGCUGGGGCUCCCAGGGGCACAGGGCUUCCACACUGAGGUCCCCAGCAAGCUGCCUGGUUUAGUUCAGGGUGCCUGCUACUUCCUGGCUGCAUGGGCUUGUCACGUCUCCUUUCUGCCCUCAACUUUCUCAUCUGUUAAAUGGGUAUGCCGGUGCCCAAAUCAUAGGGUUGUCAAAGCCUGCCUGAAGCAGGGCUCAGAGCGCACCACGAGGAAUUCAGACAGGAAAAGAGGAAACUGGGAAGGCUCUGCGUGGGAAGGGGGUGGGAUAGCCUGGAUUUGGGACGCAAGGCAUGUGCUAAGGAGGUGGAGCUAGGAGAGGUGGGGCGUGCAGAGGUGCCUCUGAGGGCCAGGCUGGCAGUGGAAUUUGCUGCAGAACUCUCAGCUUGCACAGGCCUGCCUGGGAGGGGUUCAGAGGCCUAAACAAAGCAGGGAGCCGGCAGGGAGGGGGUAAGGGAAGGAACCUCUAAGAGAAGGAACAGUCCUCUCCCGGGGCACCCACUCCCCACCUAGGUGCAGCGCCUCUCCCCAAACACACGUGCUGCCAAGCCCUUCAUCAGUCACCCUGGCACUGACAUCCAUAAAUCCCAUUAGUCACACCGCCACAAACACAUCCAGUCCCAGGCAGACAAAGACACGGGGCCCCAAAGCGGCUGUGUCUGUCCCCAGUGGCGCUUUCCCCAUGCCUAGAACUGUGCAGACACCGCAGGCGCUCCGUGCAAUUGUUGAACCGACAGCAAGCAGCACUCCUCGCAAUCACAAACGCCUCCUGAUCGCGUAACUACAGGCCCCCGGAUAACCACAGUUGUUCCUUUCCCCCAUUCCAAGUCUCUCCCAUCCCCUCUGGGUACACACGUACUGCUGUAAUCACCCACGAAUGCCCUUGGCCAUUCCCUCUUCUGCGUCUCUCUGGAGGGGGUAGGGCUGACACUGCGCCCUCCUCCCCCAAGCCUGUGCUUGGACGGGUCAGGCAGAAAAACCAUCCCCCAAGGUCACCAGAGCUCUUCAGCAGGCGCCCCCGGGAGCUGAUUUAUUGGCGGCUUAUUUGGAGAAAUGCUAUCGCUCUUAGAUUCCGGAGGGGGGAAAAAACACGCUCGCGGUGGACUUUAACCUUGGGCUGAAACCACAGCGCUUUGUUUUCAGAGGUGCUUCCUAGGGCGCCGCGGCGGGGCUGGGGCCUAGCGGGGGAAGCUCGGCCGGAAUGUGGCCCAGCAGCCUCUCCACUCCCAGGCUGCGCUCCCGCCUGCCCUGGCAAGCGCUCAAAUUCCUCUGGGCCCGGCCGGAAGCCCUCGGUCCCUCCAAAAGUGCUUCUAGAAAUUCUAGGAAGGAGCCGAGGCUCCUUGGAUGAGGGCGUCCUUGGAGCGAGGUUUCCAAACCCUCCCAUCCCAAGCCCCCGGCAUGUGCCACCCGCCGUUAGCAGUCGUGUUACUGGCAUGGUGAGGUUUUCGGGAGGCACCCAGGAAGGGCUGAAUGCUUCGGUUUCUGUGCACCUUAAGUCCGGAGCAAAACCCCGCUGGAGGUGGUUGGCUCCGAUCGCGUGCAUGGUUUGCUUGGCUGAUGUAAGACACCAGCGCGAAGGCCUGUUCCCGCCCCUCUGGCAGAGAUAAAUUAAGCGUUAUUAUUGCAAAUGCACCCUCUCUGGAUCUGCUCCCCACGACUGUUCCGUGUGUCAAAACUGCCGCUUCCACCAGGCAGCCACAAGGGCAAGACCAAUUACCGCUUUCCCCAUGGUUGUGCCAAAGCACGCAGCCAACGAGGGCUCCAAGCCGGGACCCCAGUUGAGAAAAACCUGGGGCAUCCGGCGGCACCGACGGUGGGAACCAGAUGAGCUCCCGCCUCCGCGCAUGGUGCCCACAGUCACCCCCCCCGCCUUGGUCCUCCUAUGCCAAAAAAAAAAAAAAAGGCUCAUCAUGCGCCCGCAGAGGGCUCUGAGGAGACACGGGAUGAAGGCAGGGUCCGCGGAGAAGUGGCAAGCUAAAUUCUGAGAAGCCGCUUCGACCCUGACCCUGGCGUCGCCCCUCCGUAGUGCAGGUGGCACCGGAGUUGGGCUCGAGUGGACAGCUGCACGCCCAUCCCAGUCUCACCGAGCCUUUCUAAGAGGAAUGCCAGGCCCGGGCGCCCCUACCCCAAGGCGGUGAUCCUGUGAAGCUCGGGCCACCUCAGGGUCCAGCGCCCUCAGGGAUGGAUGGUGCUGGCACCGAGGGACGAGGCUGUUCCCUCUCUUUGGUGAACGGAGAAGCUCUUGGCGUGGUUCCCUGCGCAGUCUUGGGGUUCCCAGGCCGUGAUGGGGUGAGCAGGGCGUGCGGCGUGGCCCGGGAUGCGAGACCAGUCUGGAGCACCCCCGCGUGAGCGACGGGAAGGAGGGCCCGCCCGGAGAUUUAUGGCCGCAGCCGGCCCCCUGCGCACCGAGCGCGUCUCCGUCCUUUCCCAGCCAAACAGUGGAGUGGAGGACCCGACCCCGGCUGGAGGAAGAGGCCAGGGCCGGAGGCGGGGCCGAGAGGAGCUGGAAUCCAUCGGGGCUGGGCCUGGCGCUUCAGUCCCAAUCUGCCCGCCUUGCGCCCUGGUCUCGGUGGGGUGUGGGGCGAUGGCGCCGCGUCCCUGGUCUUCCAGGCAGGUUCGGGCAGCUCCCGGCUGGGUUGGCCCGGCCGCGACUUGGCGCUGUAUCUUGGCGCUGUAUCGCGGCUGGGUCUGUCGCAGCGAGGGGACGGCGAACGUGGCUUUCCCGGGCACAGCCUCUCCGGGUUUUAGCCGCGCCCGCCAGACACGGGACCUGCGGAAACCGGAGCUUAAGACACCCAGCCACAUGGCCUCUGAGCGGGCAGUAGAAGCCGGCAAUCCCUCAGGGGGUGCCCUUCACCGAGAUGCCAGCGAAGAGUGGGGGGCUUAGGUCUCUGCCUGAAAAGCGGUUGGGGAGAUGGGUGAAGUGGCUCGGGUGGCCGCGCCAAGGACAGGAUGCUGGCUUUUUCUUCCCCCGCUGGGGGAAGGAUAAGGGGAGAACGUGUCCAAGCGGCCAGCAACACCAGAAUUUGGGAAGAACCGGGUUCAACGCCGAAUUGAGGGAGGCCGUCUGAUCGCGGGAGCUGCACCAGUCGGGGCUGAGCCUGCGCCAACAAAAGCGCGACAGGGGUGACGGCCGGGCUCAAGGUUGGCCUGUCCUUUGGUUUUAAAACAAAGAGGGAGAAUUUUGUCAGUCGGGACGCGUCCAGGGAGCAGAGGCCGGAGCCGGUAGCCUAGGAACACAGGAAAGGCCUCGGCUCCGGUGGCCCAGACUGGCUGCGGAGAAGCACGGUGGGCCGGGCCUCGGCUAGCCAGGGCAGAUUCUCCCGCAACUGCGGUGGUUUGGGGCUACAAGGAAGACCCACCCCGCUCCCCCGAGUCGAUUUUUCACCCAGUCAGUAAAACACACACACACACCCACACACACACACCCACCCACCCCAACUGCGUCCACAGGGUUUUUGGCCACCUAUCCCGCUGGGUAAACAAAAGUGUGAGGGGGCGGGGAGGGGGAAGGGGAAGGGACGGAAUGGGGGUGGGGCGCGUAAGAUGGCGGCUGGACCUGGUGGCCUAUGGCCUGUGCCCUAUGGCCGUGGCACCCAGGCCUGGUUUUUACAUUUAAAUGUGGCCCACCAUACUGGGGAGGGCGUUUCCCUGGACCGUGAACCCUUGUUAGGGAUGUCCUAGAGGCUCCCCUUUACGAAUGGAGGCACCUGGGCUGCACCCACUACUUCGCUUGGGAUCCGUCCUCCGCCCCAAAAUGGCUCCCAGUCGCUGUUUACUCAGCGACUGCGGGGACACCAGGGCGCGGGGCUGGGGAGCAGGCGGAGAUCAGGGCGCGUAUAGAUCGGCCUGGGCAGGCGGCCUCUCCGCGUAGCCCGCCCGCGCCCCCACGCACGCGGCAUCCCUGGAAAACCAGCGUGGGCAGGAUGCAUCCUGGCCGCCCCCACCACCACCGCGUCCCCAGACCCUGCGCCCUGGCCGGGCUCCGGUGGCUGCAGGGCCGCGCAAAUGUGGAAUGGGUGCCGGGGGCGGGUAUGGAAGGGGCCUGCGCGAGGGGGCUGGGCGCACAAAGCCCAGGCACCACAGCCCUAAUGAAAUACCGGCUGGGUUCGUCACGCUGCCGAGGCGCACACUUGAAAAAUGCAAACGCCAUUGGCAAAUCCAGGGCAAACAGGCAGAAUUUUUAUUAGCAACUAAAUGAUUUAUGGCACACGUACCCCGCCGUCACAAUUACGGCGUCUCGGAGCAUCCAGGGGGUGAAAACAUUAAACAUUUAUAAAAAUGG